AUGACUGCAAUUUUAGAGAGACGCGAAAGUACAAGCCUGUGGGGUCGCUUCUGCAACUGGAUAACUAGCACUGAAAAUCGUCUUUACAUCGGAUGGUUCGGUGUUUUGAUGAUCCCUACCUUAUUGACCGCAACUUCUGUAUUUAUUAUCGCCUUCAUCGCUGCCCCUCCAGUAGAUAUUGAUGGUAUUCGUGAGCCUGUUUCUGGUUCUUUACUUUAUGGAAACAAUAUUAUCUCUGGUGCUAUUAUCCCUACUUCUGCGGCGAUCGGAUUGCACUUUUACCCAAUUUGGGAAGCUGCAUCUGUUGAUGAGUGGUUAUAUAAUGGUGGUCCUUAUGAGCUAAUUGUUCUACACUUCUUACUUGGUGUAGCUUGUUAUAUGGGUCGUGAGUGGGAACUUAGUUUCCGUCUGGGUAUGCGUCCUUGGAUUGCUGUUGCAUAUUCAGCUCCUGUUGCAGCUGCUACUGCUGUUUUCUUGAUUUACCCUAUUGGUCAAGGAAGCUUUUCUGAUGGUAUGCCUUUAGGAAUCUCUGGUACUUUCAACUUUAUGAUUGUAUUCCAGGUAGAGCACAACAUCCUUAUGCAUCCAUUCCACAUGUUAGGUGUAGCUGGUGUAUUCGGCGGUUCCCUAUUCAGUGCUAUGCAUGGUUCCUUGGUAACCUCUAGUUUGAUCAGGGAAACUACUGAAAAUGAAUCUGCUAAUGAGGGUUACAAAUUUGGUCAAGAGGAAGAAACUUAUAAUAUUGUGGCUGCUCAUGGUUAUUUUGGCUGACUAAUCUUCCAAUAUGCUAGUUUCAACAACUCUCGUUCUUUACAUUUCUUCUUGGCUGCUUGGCCUGUAGUAGGAAUCUGGUUCACUGCUUUAGGUAUUAGUACUAUGGCUUUCGACCUAAAUGGUUUCAAUUUCAACCAAUCUGUAGUUGAUAGUCAAGGUCGCGUUAUUAAUACUUGGGCUGAUAUCAUCAACCGUGCUAACCUUGGUAUGGAAGUAAUGCAUGAACGUAAUGCUCACAACUUCCCUCUAGACUUAGCUGCUGUUGAAGUUCCAUCUAUUAAUGGAUAA
Molecule: ribosomal RNA, 1062 nt
Filed under: Triticum aestivum (bread wheat)
Lineage: Eukaryota; Viridiplantae; Streptophyta; Magnoliopsida; Poales; Poaceae
Description: partial small subunit ribosomal RNA
Source: RNAcentral